RNAcentral lists this ribosomal RNA (429 nucleotides) under Gemmatimonadota bacterium. Its description in RNAcentral is "Gemmatimonadetes bacterium partial 16S ribosomal RNA". It matches the Rfam family "Bacterial small subunit ribosomal RNA", at positions 355 to 776 of the family's 1533-position model. The record is from RNAcentral. Lineage: Bacteria; Pseudomonadati; Gemmatimonadota.
UAGGGAAUCUUCGGCAAUGGACGAAAGUCUGACCGAGCAACGCCGCGUGAGUGAAGAAGGUUUUCGGAUCGUAAAACUCUGUUGUUAGAGAAGAACAAGGACGUUAGUAACUGAACGUCCCCUGACGGUAUCUAACCAGAAAGCCACGGCUAACUACGUGCCAGCAGCCGCGGUAAUACGUAGGUGGCAAGCGUUGUCCGGAUUUAUUGGGCGUAAAGCGAGCGCAGGCGGUUUCUUAAGUCUGAUGUGAAAGCCCCCGGCUCAACCGGGGAGGGUCAUUGGAAACUGGGAGGCUUGAGUGCAGAAGAGGAGGGUGGAAUUCCAUGUGUAGCGGUGAAAUGCGUAGAUAUAUGGAGGAACACCAGUGGCGAAGGCGGCUCUCUGGACUGUAACUGACGCUGAGGCUCGAAAGCGUGGGGAGCAAACAGG